UUCAUAUUAAGCACAUAAUAUAUUCCAUUUCCAUAUUAAGGAAGUAGGAUUUGAUAAUUGAAAUACAUCAGAGUACAACAUGAUAUAGCUUCAGCACUCAGCUACUGCAUUACACAACUGCACCAGCAACAAGUUUCACAUGCAACAUCUCGAACCUUUCGAAAUUAUCAUGAUAGACGGUACAUACAGAUAUGCAUCUCAUCUGGAAAACUGCUGAAGCGGAAGGCGAAUAUUCAGCCUUCAUUCAUGUUGAAGGUCUUUGCAACUUUAGGCCUGUGCUUGUGGAUGAUUGACCGUCCAUCCUUCGACCUCUUCAGGAACACUUCAGUAUUGAACCGUGGGUGUUGUUUGAAAACUUUCCUCGCCUCCUGACCACAGAGGUGGUUUGAGAGGUAAUCAUCAGUGACGCCUGAAAACAAGGAUGUGCAUAAAUAUCUUCUCUAGAUUGGAAAUUUGGCAAAGGAAUACAAAAAGGCAAGGUAUAAUAGUUAGUACCAUCUUGUAAACCUCAGUGCUUCCCAUUGUUUCCCUGCAACACAUAUAAGGUAGUUAGUCAUUAGGUUAAGUGAGGGUUCGCAUGCUAUUAGUAAAAUAUGUUGAUGUUAAAUAAGCACAUUGUUGAUUCAUCAAAUUAAUUCAAGCCACAUGGAAAACCCAUUUAUCCAAACCAAGCAUGAUUAAGAACUAGGAAAUAUAACACUUGUAUAUGUUUCUCAUGUAUUAAGUGCAGCCAAAUUCGAUUUAUUCCUCACAUGGUAUACAAUAACAAAAUGCAGCCACAUAAAUUGAACAUCGCAUUGCGGAAUUGAACCAAGCAGUUAACUAAACACCACAACAAAUGAACCAAACAUUAAAUGAGAACCACAUUGCACAAUAUAACAUACUCCUGAUGCACAAUGUAACAUACUCCUGAUAGAAGAUCAGACAGUUAACCAAACCAAGCAUGCUUAGCAACUUGGAAAUAUAGCAAUUGUAUUUGUUUCUCAUGUAUUUAGUACAGCCAAAUUCGAUUCAUUCCUCACAUGGUAUACAAUAACAGAAUGUAGCCACAACAAUUGAACAUCGCAUUGCAGAAUUGAACCAAGCAGUUAACUAAACUCCACAAUAAGUGAACCAAGCCACAACAAAUGAACCAAGCAGUUAACCAAACACCAAUGGAACAAUAUAACAUACUCCUAAUAGAAUACCAGAUAGUUAACCAAACCAAGCAUGCUUAACAACUUGGAAAUAUUGCACCCUGAAGAAUUGAACAUCACAUUUGCAGAAUUGAACCGGGCAGUUAAUUGAACACCACAUUGCACGACAUAUAGAACAUAUACACUAUAGCAGAAGAUUGCAUGGUAAAAGUAGAUAGCACAAUUCACUAGAAUUUGUUAAGGAAAGGAAGUAGCUAGCAAACUGAACAUGGGUCCUUAUAGUGAGCUAAUAAGACAAGCUACUCCUCAUUGUCGGAGAUAUCGAUGACGAUUGGCUCCUUGGACAUGGAAGAGGGCGAGGCCUCAACAUCGUCAGUGCCCUCAUUGUAGUGGUGAGUUGCCUGAGCCGCUCCGGGCACCAACCUGCUGGCUCUCGAGAUGAGGUAAGCACAUGCACGCUGAGAAAACACCUCGUAGACUUCGCCGAAGGCACCAAUGGUGGCCUCGAGAAAACGCCAUGAACUAUCGUUUAAAGCAGCCAAUCGCAUCACGGUGUCGACGCGCGAGGCGUCAAUGGUGGCCUCGACGGUGAGGUGCUCCUCCAAGAUCUGUGGGUCGGCAUGAAUGGCAGCCAUCGUGACCUAAUCCUCGCGUGUGGCCACAAUUUUCUUCUCCGCUGCCAAAUGCUCCUUGAGGUCAUGGCUAUACUACGUGCACCAUGGCUUAGGCUGGCGCUUAUUUGUUGGAUGGGUCGGUGAUUUGGGUGGAAGGUGUCGCACUCGCGCCAGCGGUCGGGGCAUGUGGGAUGUGGAAGGAGGAGGAGGAUGGGGGUCGGGUGUGGAUUACCUACCUGGAUAGGCGAGGCCGAGCAGCGUGAAGGAGGAUCGUCGGCGAGGAGGUGGCGGCACUUCAAGCAAGGAGUGAAGGUUUCAACUUGGAAAGGAAGGCGGAAAGAGGGGAAAUGUGGCUUUUGCUAAGGGGGAGGGGCGGGGAGGUAGAUAUUUCUGCGAAAGCCGAAAAUUUGGAAUCGCUUUAGACAAAAACUGGCGCGCAAAGUGUCAUCAGACACGGUCCCUUAUUCAGACAAGGUCCAAAGAUAUUUUCUGUUGCAUCUCACACGGUUGGUUAUAAUAAACUGUGUGGGAUCUACUUGAUUUUAUGUCUUGAUUUGAAUUACAUAAUGGGGUCACAGCUCCCAUGGACGGUGUUUGAAUUGCUAGACCUUUUAUCAACAAUGAUCAUAAAAGAAUUGGAAUUAUUCAGGGUUCGUUUGGACAUUUUUAUGCAUUAAGUGAUUUUUCAAUGCAUUUAUGUGCAUAAUUCAAAUUUGAACUAUAUGCACAGGCUCCAGUGCAUAUAAAUUCAUUGAAAAAUCAAAUCUUUGUCCUUGGGUGUAUGCUUAGGUCCCAUGCAAGAAAUGGGAAUGAAUUUCAAACACCAUGGCACCGUUGAUUGCCGGCAAAACAUUGAGAUGCCUGGUUUUAAAAUUCUAGUAAAUCCAAAACUCGUCUGAAAUUCAUGAAACUUGGCAUGCUAUCAUGGAGCGGCAUCAACAUGACAUGGUACAAAUUUUGUCCCAUUUGGGGCUGUUUUGGGUAUAUGCUUCUCAGAAACCGGAGCUUCUCACAACAAGCAUGAUGGUUUUCGGUAGGGAACGUCCCACCUUUGGGGAUAAAAUGAUAUCCAUUGCCGCUUAUUGUUUUCAAGUUUUUUUUCUCAUGUCAACAUAGAACAACAGGAGUGUUGUGUGAAUUUUUGUGAUUUUUCGGGGUUCGUGUGGACAUUUUUAUGCAUUAACUGAGUUUUCAAUGCAUUUAUGUGCUUAAUUCAAAUUUGAACUACAUGCGCAUGCUCCAGUGCAUAUAAAUUGGUUGAAAAAUCAAAUAUGUGUCCUUGGGUGCAUGCUUAGGUCCCAUGCAAGAAAUGGGAAUGAAUUACAAACACCGGGGCACCGUUGAUUGCCGGCAAAACAUUGAGAUGCCUAGUUUUUAAAUUCUAGUAAAUUCAAAACUCAUUUGAAAUUCAUGAAACUUGGCAUGCUAUCAUGGAGCGACAUCAACAUGCCGUGUACAAAUUUUGUUCCAUUUGGGGCAGGUUUGGGUAUAUGCUUCUCACAAUCCGGGGCUUAUCACAACAGGCAUGAUGGUUUUCGGUAGGGAACAUCCCACCUUUGGGUACGAAACGAUAUCCAUUGCCUCUUAUUGCUUUCCAAAAAAAAUUCUCGUGUCAACAUAGAACAACAGGUUGUGUGAAUUUUUGUGAUUUUCGGGGUUCGUUUGGACAUUUUUAUGCAUUAACUGAGUUUUCAAUGCAUUUUAUGUGCAUAAUUCAAAUUGGAACUACAUGCACAUGCUCCAUUGCAUAUAAAUUGGUUGAACAAUCAAAUUUGUGUCCUUGGGUGCAUGCUUAGGUCCCAUUCAAGAAAUGGGAAUCAAUUUCAAACACCGGGACACCGUUGAUUGCCGGCAAAUCAUUGAGAUGCCUGGUUUUAAAAUUCUAGUAAAUCCAAAACUCGUGUGAAAUUCAUGAAACUUGGCAUGCUAUCAUGGAGCAGCAUCAACAUGUCGUGGUACAAAUUUUGUCCCAUUUGGGGCAGGUUUGGGUAUAUGCUUCUCACAAAUCGAAGCUUCUCACAACAACCAUGAUGGUUUUCAGUAGGGAACGUCCCACCUUUGGGGACGAAACGAUAUCCAUUGCCUCUUAUUGCCUUCAAUUUUUUUUUCUCAUGUCAACAUAGAACUACAGGAGUGUUGUGUAAAUAUUUGUGAUUUUUCGGGGUUCGUUUGGACAUUUUUAUGCAUUAACUGAGUUUUCAAUGCAUUUUAUGUGCAUAAUUCAAAUUUGAACUACAUGCACAUGCUCCAAUGCAUAUAAAUUGGUUGAAAAUCAAAUAUGUGUCCUUGGGUGCAUGCUUAGGUCCCAUGCGAGAAAUGGGAAUAAAGUUCAAACACCGGGGCACUGUUGAUUGCCGGCAAAACAUUGAGAUGCCUAGUUUUCAAAUUCGAGUUAAUCCAAAACUCGUCAGUGUGCAGGUUCACCGGGAAGCGUGCGAGAUGUUCAACGCAAGAUUUGUGCAUCUCUUCAACGCAAACGGUUUAGUGAAGCAGUAAAGCGGCAGAAAAUAAACCAAAAUAUAUAUGUGCUGCCACACAUCCCGUGUGCCGUGUGAGGAGCAUCAGUUGACGGGACGCAUAAGAGUAGUCCGCCGGCAGGCAUACCGGGAAGCGUGCAUGCAGGUGUGUGUAUUGACGAGGAGGCGUUCGAGUAGCUGUGUGAAAUGGUGGUAGGAAUGGCAGACGUCCGCCGCGCAGGCUCACCAGGAGGCGAGGCAACUUUUGACUGCAACCUGCCUUGCUCCCACUGGUCCAUAUUAAUUGCGCACCCAAGCCGCCAGCCAUAAUAGGCGGCCGCACCCCCUGUCCAUAGUGGUCACCUACGUCUGGACUCCGGAGUGUAUGAAGAUGUCGCCGAAGCGCACCAUCGGAGCGAGUGGCGACGCCGGGGCUGGUGAAGCACCCGCACAACGCGUCAAGCUGGCCAUAGAGGUUUCCGUCGCCACCGACGAGGUCUCGCGUGGGCAGCAGCACGACCUUGAAUUCGUUGGCGUCGUCAUGACCCCCCCAGCCGGAGCCGGAGGUCAACAGCAACUUCGGCAACAACUGCGACUCCGGCGGAAAAACCGGCCAGUCACCUACAUAUAUGUUUGUGCCUUUUUUCUUCCUGAUCUUGAGAAUUGAUUUCGAAUUUCCUACAUGUUAUGCCACUUUUUACUUUUAGAUUGGUAUGUACACAGAUGAGGCUCCGUCUAGCGCCACCGCCAUAUGUUGAUCUUGGACCUGGCUGUGCGUCCAGAAGCGCCCCCUGGACCUGAGUGUUGGAAAUAUGCCCUAGAGGCAAUAAUAAAAGUAUUAUUAUAUUUCAAUGUUCAUGAUAAAUAUCUUUUGUUCAUGCUAUAACUGUAUUAUCCGGAAAUCGUAAUACACGUGUGAAUACUUAGACCACAAUAUGUCCCUGGUGAGCCUCUAGUUGACUAGCUCGUUGUGAUCAACAGAUAGUCAUGGUUUCCUGACUAUGGACAUUGGAUGUCGUUGAUAACGGGAUCACAUCAUUAGGAGAAUGAUGUGAUGGACAAGACCCAAUCCUAAGCAUAGCAUAAAAGAUCGUGUAGUUCGUUUUGCUAGAGCUUUGCCAGUGUCAAGUAUCUCUUCCUUCGACCAUGAGAUCGUGUAACUCCCGGAUACCGUAAGAGUGCCUUGGGUGUAUCAAACGUCACAACGUAACUGGGUGACUAUAAAGGUGCAUUACAGGUAUCUCCGAAAGUAUCUGUUGGGUUGACACGGAUCGAGACUGGGAUUUGUCACUCCGUAUGACGGAGAGGUAUCUCUGGGCCCACUCGGUAAUGCAUCAUCAUAAUGAGCUCAAUGUGACCAAGGUGUUGGACACGGGAUCAUGCAUUACGGUACGAGUAAAGUGACUUGCCGGUAACGAGACUGAACAAGGUAUUAGGAUACCGACGAUCAAGUCUCGGGCAAGUAACGUACCGAUUGACAAAGGGAAUUGUAUAUAGGGUUUGAUCGAAUCCUCGACAUCGUGGUUCAUCCGAUGACAACAUCGAGGAGCAUGUGGGAGCCAUCAUGGGUAUCCAGAUCCCGCUGUUAGUUAUUGACCUGAGAGCGUCUCGGUCAUGUCUGCAUGUCUCCCGAACCCGUAGGGUCUACACACUUAAGGUUCGGUGACGCUAGGGUUAUUAAGAAGACUAGUAUGUGACUACCGAAUGUUGUUCGGAGUCCCGGAUGGGAUCCCGGACGUCACGAGGAGCUCCGGAAGGGUCCGGAGGUAAAGAUUUAUAUAUGAGAAGUUGUCAAACGGGCACCGGGAAGUUUCGGGGUCAUACCGGUAUUGUACCGGGGCCACCGGAAGGGUUCCGGGGGUCCACCGGGAGGGGCCACCCCUCCCGGGGGACCACAUGGGCUGCGUGGGGCAGGGAGCCAGCCCCUGGUGGGCUGGGCGCACCCCCUCCCUUGGGCCCUUGCGCCUAGGGUUGAGGGGGGAACCCUAGAGGGGGCGCCCCCUUGGCUUGGGGGGCAAGCCACCCUCUCCCCCUCUCCCCUUGGCCGCCGCCCCCCCCUCUAGAUGGGUUCUAGAGGGGCCGGCCCCCUUCUCCCUUCUCCCUAUAAAUAGAGGGGUGAGGGGAUGGCAGCCGCACCACCCUCCAAGGCGCAGCCCUCCCCUCCCCAACACCUCUCCUCCUCCGUUGUGUGCUUGGCGAAGCCCUGUCGGAGUACUGCUUCUCCACCAUCACCACGCCGUCGUGCUGCCGGUGGAGCUGUCUUCCUCAACCUCUCCUUCCCCCUUGCUGGAUCAAGAAGGAGGAGAUGUCUCCCGUCCCGUACGUGUGUUGAACGCGGAGGUGCUGUCCGUUCAGCACUUGGUCAUCGGUGAUUCGAAUCACGUCGAGUACGACUCCAUCAUCACCUUGCAAGCUUCCGCACGCGAUCUACAAGUGGUAUGUAGAUGCAAACUCAUUCCCUCGACUCGUUGCUUAGAUGAACUCAUAGAUGGAUCUUGGUGAAACCGUAGGAAAAUUUUUAAUUUUCUGCAACGUUCCCCAACACUGAGGAACCAGUAGAAUCUCCCGCGGAUGACAUCCUUGGUGGGAUCAUCUCCCUUCUCCCCACCAAGGAUGGCUACCGCACACAAGUCCUCACAUCUCGGUGGCGCACUCUGUGGCACACCACGCCUCUUAAUCUUGACUGUCGUCAGCUAUCUGUCGAUGAUGAUUCUGAACUCCUCGGAGCCAUCAUCUCCUCCCACGGGGGCUCCGUUCAACGCAUCUGCUUCCCGGCAUGCUACCUGCUGGACAUACCCUACACGGUUGCCGCGUGGCUGACAUCCCGUCAAUUUGAUAAACUCCAGGAGCUUGAGUUCUACCAUUACUACAGCGAUAGGUUACCACCAAUAGCUGCAUCUGUGCCCUCACCACCGAUGCCCAUGUCAUGGUUUUCCUCCUCUCACUGCACCGCCACCUUGACCCAGUGCCAUCUAGUAGACAAUCUGGUACAAGUGCUUCGACUUCCACUUCUGAAAAAACUUGCGCUUGUGUUGGUUCAUCUGUCAGGGGCCUCACCACACAACAUCAUCCACUCCAGCUGCCCUGCACUGGAGCGUUUGGUGCUUGUUUUUGGAGCAGGAAUCGAUAUUCGUUGUCUCAAAAUUAAGUCGCCUCACCUUGUAAGCAUUAGAAUUAGUUUUGAGGACAGGAGCUCAUCAUUGAAGAUGCCCCUUCACUUCAAAGGUUGGUCCUUGAUUGUUGUUAUAAACCUAAGCAAAUAAAUGUGGUCUCUGCGCCUAAACUGGAGACCUUGGGUGCAAUUUGUGAUCCGUUUAAAUGGUUUGAGAUGGUGUUUGCCUCCACACCUACUAAGGUAUUGUAUAUUAUUCACGUACACUUUUUUAAUUUGCAUUUUUCAUUUGUGCGCAUAAGUUAAGUAUCUUCUUGGAGUACACUUUCCAUGCUAAUAUUAUGGUCUAUGCUCAAUGAAGUGCUUGUCCAUCCUAUCAGUGUUGGUGGAUUCUGUCAAGACCCUAUAUAUUAGUAUGUGGUGUUUUGAUCUCAACAUCAUUAUUGCCUUGCUGCAAUGCUUUCCAUGUUUGGAUAAUUUGUAUAUAAAGGUGAUGAUUUCACGCAUAUUGAAAGCCCAUAUAUAAUGUACUAUAAUUAAUCAUUCAACUAUCACUCUUUCGACAUAAUCUUUUUUAGACAUUAACUAUUUUAAUCUUCAUCUCUAUUUAGGCAAAAACACAUGGAGAAAAAGGUAUAACCAAUCGAUGAUUGAUGAAGCACGGGGAUUUUCUCAGAUCUCAUGACAUUCAUUUGAAGACAGUAACGCUAGAAUGAUAUCAUCCAAUAGUGCAAACACUAGUUUUGUUAGAUUCUUCAUGUUGAAUGUGAGGGCACUAUUGUCCGUGAGGAUUAAAUUUUCAACAAGAAAUUACUCACAGCUGCAAGUGUUGAAGAGCAUAAAAAGAAGUUUCAGGUGGACCUAAGGGCUUCUGAUCGUGUUCGGCUUCUAUUUACAACAGCUUGUGAUCAUCAUGGAGCAGUAGAAUUAUUGUAUUGGGAUCUUGAUUUUAUGGAUUAGACUGGUCCAUUUGAUUGUAACUGUCGAAAACUUUGGUUGAGUUAGAUUUCUUUGUCCUAUUCAACAUGGGUUAUGUGUAAACCUGAUGAACAAUUAAUCCUUGUGCUUUUGUAUCCUUUGUAAGCUGGAGUUAGACAUUGUUGCCCUUUUCAACUAGGGUUUGACCCACAUUUUCUUUCAUACUGGGCCAAUGGCUUGCCAUUUCUUUAAUUAUGACAUAAAUAUUAUAAGCAUUCACAACAUAGGGAAAGAUCCUCACUCUCGCAGGAUCCUUGAGAUCUUUGUUCAUUACAGAACCGCAAGUUCUUGGCGCCCACCAGCACCCACAAACUUAUUUUCAGCUAGCACACCAAAUGGUCUGUAAUUCUUAAUAAGAAAAGUUGCAUGGUAGUGACAAAUUUGAAUUUUUCAUUUGGGACCCACGAGGAAAAAGCCUAUCCAGGACGGUGCCGACUCGACAUUAAACAUUGAGAAACCUGGUUUUAAUAUUACUGUAAAUCCAAAACUCGCCUCAAAAUAAUGAAACUUGGCAUGGUAUUAUGACAUAGCACCAUCAUGUUGUGGUAAAAAAUUAGUCCAAAUUGGGACAAGUUUUGGUACAAACUUCUUACAAACUGGAGCUUCUCUCAAAAAGGCUCAUGGUUCGGAGAGGGGCCUUGUCACCUAUGUGUGUGAAACGACAUACGCUGUCUCUUACUGCCUUGAUUUAUUUUACAGAGGCAACAUGCAACUAUAGUAGCGUCGUCCUAAAAAUAUGAAAUUACUCAUAGUUUGUUUUGCCUUUUAAUACAUUAUUUGAGUUUCCUAGGCAUUUUGGAACGUACUUUAGUGUGUGCAAUGGUCAUGUGUGUACUAGCCACAUAUGUAAUUGGAUGUUCAAUCUUUUUAUGGAAUCAAGUCCUUAUAAGUUAUAAGUACAUGUGUUGUUGUUCUGUGUGCAAUGACAUUGCACAUAGAGCAUACUGGGAAACCCGUCGGUGAUGAUUUCAUCAAUCGUUCAUAAUUGUAUACCACCAAGCGUUUGCCCACAACACACAUGACUUAUUAGCAGCAAUCAUGUGUGUUAUUAUCAGUCUUCACACACAUUUCUGAUUAUAGACAUUUUUGCCGCGUAUGACACACAUCUUGUUAUAUUGAACCGUUUCUGUUCUCUUGGCUCAAAGCAAACAGUUUAUCCGAUUGAACCGCAUGACAUAUAUUGCACACACCUUGAUCUGGCUGACCGUUUCUUUUGUGUUGCCUAAUCACAAACAGUUCAUCCGAGUGAACCGUAUGUUGUAUAUCACACACACCUUCAUCUGGCUUCCCGUUUCUUUUGUUCCUCAUCAUCGCAAACAGUUAAUUGAACUGAACUGUAUGCCCUGCAUCGCACACGCAACCAAAAUCUGAACCGUGUUUGAUGCAUCCUCCAUCACAAACUUUUUGCACCUUUUUGACGGGUUUUUUACACCACCGUUUGUGAUUAUUGCAUCGCACAUAGUUUCGACGAAGGGUCUCUAAUCAUAGUGUCGCAUUAGGAGUAUCCUGUAGUAGUGUCACUUCCUUCGGGGAAAAUUGGGGCUCAGAUCAAAAAAUAAACAAGGUUCAAAUUGCAAGUUCAAGACAAGAAAAAUAAAAGUCCCAGCAAAGUGUGGAAUAAUGAGAGGAUUACCUGUCAGUACUUGUUGUGUGUGGGGGGGGGGGCACUCCCUCCCAAGGAAGCUUGUGUUGUCGGUGCACUACCUUCAACUAAUCUCACGGGCGAGGUGGUACCGGCGCAAAUAGGAUCGUCGAUGGAGGCCCUUGUCGGGGUGGCACUCUCUGGGGCGAUGGUUGACGGGGACCGCAUGACAGGAUCCGUCUCUUGGUGCUCCUCUUGUUGGUGGGCCUCUCCCAACUCAUUGUCAGAUUCAAGAGAAGGGACCUCGGUGCUAGCACCAGAUGGAGGGACAGGCGGUGCGACCCCAUGCACGGGGCUGGUGACCGUGGCAUCGGCCACUGGUGAAACUUACCUGGCACCUGUCGGGGAGCUUCGCCCCUCCAAUGUCUUAGCGUGUUUCACCCGCUGCACUAGUGGUUUUGCAUCCUUGUAAGACAAGAAAAGUCAGAACAGGAUAACAGUUGAGCAAGUCAAAGCUUGAUUAAUAAAAAAAGAUAAAGAUUUGAUUACUAUUCAACAGAUUCAAGAAGGUCGUUCAUGUUAUAUUGAGGAGGUGGGGGAGUCUCCCUGGCCCUCUUGAUGGCUGGCAGUGGCGAGCUUGGCGAACGGGAAGCCUCACCCUCCCCAGUAAGCUCUUGCUGAGAGGAUGGGGGCUUGAGCUUGACAUGUGUACUGGUUGCCGGCGUACUGCCUCCUGACACCCCGUCUUGGUGGUUGAUUUCCUCACCGCGGGAUCAGAUCAGGGCGGGGGAGUGCCCGCAGACUCUUGUAUACCCCUGCUUCGAAGGUGGCACGGCAGCUCGAAGACUUGGGGUUCCUCCCCUUCGGGCUUCCUGGUAAUCUCUGCCCUAGCAACUUUGCCUACGCCAAGCUCCUCCUGCCUCUCCUCGGCAAGCUCUUCCUCAUCAGCAUCAUCUUCUUCUUCGUCGUCAUCAUCAUCCUCGGUGCCCUCAGGAGCGCCUGCAGCCCUUGCAGCUUCUAGCCUCCGGGCCUCUGCGACCCUACUAGCAAUGUAUGCCUCCUCCUCCACCGUGGUGGCUUUGACGAGAUUGCUCUCUUCUCGCUCAGCCACCUCCGUCAAUUCAGAGGCCCAUUUCAUCUCAUAUGCCAGCUUGGGCAAUUUCCAGCUUCCCUUGACCCCCUUGGUGGAGCACUCUAGCAUCCAUGCCAAGAUGGCGCUCCUCUCUGAGUUGAGGUGCAGUGGCACAACUGUGUUGGGCAGGUGGAACGUGAGCACAAAACACAAGCUCCCACACAGUGAGCUCAUGCGCGCGCGCACACACACACUAAACACCAGACCCAGCACGCACACCCCAGGACAUGAUGCUCUUUUAUUUGUUUUUGGGUCCUCCUUGAACUUCUGAAUGUCGUUUUGCAAGCUUGAGGCCAUCAGGUUUCAGUGCCCGGACAUUUAGUUAUCUGAGCUCUCAAGAAUACUACUCCGGUUAUAACGGAACUUCUCUCAUUCAUCCGUGCAUUAUUUUGCAGAACAUUUUUUGCGCCGGCUAGGGACUACGGCGUGCGGCCCUAGCAGCAGUAGGCCAUGGUGGUGCAUGCUGGCAUGACACGUCGCAGCGGCGUGUGUUGACGGCCAGGUGACCAGACCAGGUGCGGUUGCGGUUCGGUGGAUGGACAGGUCCCUGCAUGGUUCCUUGCCAGUAACAAAACAGCCUGCAUGACCGCUUGCCACCAGAGAAAACUUCUUCUUACUAAUGUCAAAUUAAUUGAUAUGCAAAACAAAACAUUGCCAAAAUAGCAUAGCUACAGAGGUGAUAAAAUCACUUCAGAAAAUAUCACAAUUGUACCAUAAAGCUGCGUCAAGUGUAUUUUCUUAAAAGCUUGAGCUAUUGGAACUCGUGGAUGAGGUUGUGGUGUCUUCUCUGAAGCAAAGCAAAAAAUAGCCUGAAACUAGCACACAUACAAGCAACUUGAUUGAUGAACAGUAUCACAUGCGUGUACUGCUAGCAAGCCAAGAAAUCGAUUAAGCUACUUGGCUGCUUGUUUAAGGCUGGCCUUUGCACAAACUCGUUGCUCCAUGGUGGUUUGAGCAAGUGUUCCAAAAUCAACACUCGCGUAGGCGGAGCCCGUGGAGCCAACUUUCCGGAGCUAAAGUAGUCGGAGCAGUCCGUGUUGGCGACUGGGUGCAGUCCGUGCCGGCGGCCGGGUGCACAGCGGUGAGCAGGAGGGAGGUUGGGCACAUCUUUAGGGCGGAGGAGGUGAUGCUGGGGCGGCGAGCUGGGGAGUUUUGGCGGAGAUCCUCGGAUGGCUGGAGUUUGGGCGCUGAAGCGGUGAACAUCCGAGAGCUCUAUGGUGGAACGGCCUGAGCUGGUCGUGGUGAACGGCCUGAGCGCCACGGUGAUGGGUGUGUCCCCACAAGGGAGGAGGCUCCGUGAGGAGGUGGGGUAGCGAGGUUGCUCACCUUUAGUCGGGGACCCCGGUGGCGGCCGGCGGGAUCAGAGGUAGGAGACGGUGCCUGGGAUGCACGGCUUGCUCGUCUUCACUCGGGGACCCCUGCGGCGGAGGUCGCGAUCCAAAGACAGGAGGCGUCGCCCGGGAUCCACGGCCGACGGCGGCGCACAGGACCAAGGUGGAUCGGGGCAGAGGUGGUGUUCCAUGGCGGCGGUUAGAAGAAGGUGGGGCGAUUGUGGGAGCCUAGUGUGGCGGCGGGAGGAAGGUGGUGGGUUGUGGCGAGGAAGGAUGUUGUGGCCCCGCGGGGUGGGCGGUGGGCGGCGGGGUUGGCCGGGGGGCUUGGGUGGGUUGUGGGGAAGGUGGGCGACGGGGAUAAGGUAUGGUUUGUUUUUC
This 12719-nucleotide long non-coding RNA is filed under the name Triticum aestivum (bread wheat). RNAcentral's name for it is "long non-coding RNA (TAES_LNC001612)". The record is from RNAcentral. Lineage: Eukaryota; Viridiplantae; Streptophyta; Magnoliopsida; Poales; Poaceae.